UCGGGGGUCGUCUAAUGGCAGGACAAGGGUCUUUGGAACCCUAUAUCGAGGUUCGAGUCCUCGCCCCCGAG
This 71-nucleotide transfer RNA is filed under the name Anaerolineae bacterium. RNAcentral's name for it is "tRNA-Gln". It matches the Rfam family "tRNA". Rfam says of the family: Transfer RNA (tRNA) molecules are approximately 80 nucleotides in length. Their secondary structure includes four short double-helical elements and three loops (D, anti-codon, and T loops). Lineage: Bacteria; Bacillati; Chloroflexota; Anaerolineae. The record is from RNAcentral.